Molecule: ribosomal RNA, 588 nt
Filed under: uncultured bacterium
Lineage: Bacteria
Description: partial 16S ribosomal RNA
Rfam family: Bacterial small subunit ribosomal RNA
Source: RNAcentral
UGGGGAAUUUUGGACAAUGGGCGAAAGCCUGAUCCAGCAAUGCCGCGUGUGUGAAGAAGGCCUUCGGGUUGUAAAGCACUUUUGUCCGGAAAGAAAUCCUUGGCUCUAAUACAGUCGGGGGAUGACGGUACCGGAAGAAUAAGCACCGGCUAACUACGUGCCAGCAGCCGCGGUAAUACGUAGGGUGCAAGCGUUAAUCGGAAUUACUGGGCGUAAAGCGUGCGCAGGCGGUUUGCUAAGACCGAUGUGAAAUCCCCGGGCUCAACCUGGGAACUGCAUUGGUGACUGGCAGGCUAGAGUAUGGCAGAGGGGGGUAGAAUUCCACGUGUAGCAGUGAAAUGCGUAGAGAUGUGGAGGAAUACCGAUGGCGAAGGCAGCCCCCUGGGCCAAUACUGACGCUCAUGCACGAAAAGCGUGGGGAGCAAAACAGGAUUAGAUACCCCUGGUAGUCCACGCCCUAAACGAUGUCAACUAGUUGUUGGGGAUUCAUUUCCUUAGUAACGUAGCUAACGCGUGAAGUUGACCGCCUGGGGAGUACGGUCGCAAGAUUAAAACUUAAAUGAAUUGACGGGGUCAUAGCUGUUUCCU